CACGUAGGCGGCUAAGUCAGUCUGGUGUGAAAGCCCCCGGCUCAACCGGGGAAUUGCAUCGGAUACUGCUUGGCUUGAGGACGGUUGGGGUGAGUGGAACUCCUGGUGGAGCGGUGAAAUGCGUAGAUAUCAGGAGGAACACCAGUGGCGAAAGCGACUCACUGGGCCGUCUCUGACGCUGAGGUGCGAAAGCUAGGGUAGCGAACAGGAUUAGAUACCCUGGUAGUCC
RNAcentral lists this ribosomal RNA (229 nucleotides) under uncultured bacterium. Its description in RNAcentral is "partial 16S ribosomal RNA". It matches the Rfam family "Bacterial small subunit ribosomal RNA", at positions 568 to 796 of the family's 1533-position model. The record is from RNAcentral.